RNAcentral lists this transfer RNA (68 nucleotides) under Japanagallia sp. Its description in RNAcentral is "tRNA-Trp". The record is from RNAcentral. Lineage: Eukaryota; Metazoa; Arthropoda; Insecta; Hemiptera; Cicadellidae.
AAGAUUUUAAGUUAAAUAAACUAUUAACCUUCAAAGUUAAAUUUGCCUAAUAAAUUAAGUAAAUCUUA